AGUGAACGCUGGCGGUAGGCCUAACACAUGCAAGUCGAACGGCAGCACAGGAGAGCUUGCUCUCUGGGUGGCGAGUGGCGGACGGGUGAGGAAUACAUCGGAAUCUACUCUGUCGUGGGGGAUAACGUAGGGAAACUUACGCUAAUACCGCAUACGACCUACGGGUGAAAGCAGGGGAACUUCGGGCCUUGCGCGAUUGAAUGAGCCGAUGUCGGAUUAGCUAGUUGGCGGGGUAAGGGCCAACCAAGGCGACGAUCCGUAGCUGGUCUGAGGGGAUGAUCAGCCACACUGGAACUGAGACACGGUCCAGACUCCUACGGGAGGCAGCAGUGGGGAAUAUUGGACAAUGGGCGCAAGCCUGAUCCAGCCAUACCGCGUGGGUGAAGAAGGCCUUCGGGUUGUAAAGCCCUUUUGUUGGGAAAGAAAUCCAGCUGGCUAAUACCCGGUUGGGAUGACGGUACCCAAAGAAUAAGCACCGGCUAACUUCGUGCCAGCCGCCGCCGUAA
RNAcentral lists this ribosomal RNA (506 nucleotides) under uncultured bacterium. RNAcentral's name for it is "partial 16S ribosomal RNA". It matches the Rfam family "Bacterial small subunit ribosomal RNA", at positions 29 to 523 of the family's 1533-position model. The record is from RNAcentral.